Molecule: non-coding RNA, 1046 nt
Organism: Manis javanica (Malayan pangolin)
Lineage: Eukaryota; Metazoa; Chordata; Mammalia; Pholidota; Manidae
Source: RefSeq, a predicted model, not a curated record
CAGGUGCAGGCAGCCACCGGCGCUGCCGCUGGCCGCGCGACGCCCGGCUGUGCCGGGGCCGCCGGAGGCUAGUGGCCGUGUGGGGGCGCCCCCAGGUCCCGCCGCUGCCAGGCGCCCAGCUUUUCCAGAUCUCAGCCCUCCGGAGUGCAGUCUCCGAAAAGACUGGAGGUCUUAGGCACCCCAGAGAAAGCAGGCACUAGCCGAGCAGCCGGCGGCGCGGAGCUGCGAGUGCAUGGAGCCGCAAGGUGCCGCGCGGACUCGGCGGCGGCGUGGCUGAAGCGCUCAGAGCCGGAGGCAGCGCGGUGGAGGGAGGAGCGCAGCCGGGCGGUGACCAGCCCGGGGGCCGCGGCGCAGGCUCUAAUAGGGCUCAGCUUGGCCCUGGAUGGAGAUCUGGAUGAAGAACUUAAAGAGAAUGGCUUGGGGAAUAAGAGAAAGGGAGAAGGGUUAGAAGAAUUGGAGGGAAAAUGCUGGCAUCUUCAUCCUUUGUGAAACCCAAUGCAGACAGCAUCACAAGCAACAUCGUCCCCUCUACAGGCAGGACCAGGCAUCUCUCUGCUGCCCUCUGCUGACUGGGUGCGUUCAGUAUCCCUAUUUUUACACGUGAGCAGUUUAGAAGCACAGCAGGCUCCUGUGACCCCUGGGGUCUGAGGUCUUUGCCACUACUUUCUGCUAGUCUCUCCAUUUAUUCAAGCUCUUAUUUUAUGCUCCUCAAAUAGUAUUCUGGUAUUCUUCCUCCCCAUACUGCAAAAUUCUUGCUAAAAUUAUUCCUUGGUGUUUUGUAUUUUGGAUUCUGUUGUAAAUGCGAUCUAUUCCUGGAGACUCUUGGUCAAUUUUUCUUUUAUAUAACCCAAACUUCCUCAUAUUAUACAAUGAAUGAUUUUACCUCUCUUGGGAAACAUGUGGGAUUGGCAAACUGUGACUAUGGACUCUGCUACUUAUACAAGAUUAUGCAAGAUGAUUUCUUAAAAGCCCUCGAGAUGCCCAAGAUCUGUGUGUUCCUUUUGCAAAAGAGAAAUUUAAUAAUUGGGAAGAAUAAAAUGCUUACA